Molecule: ribosomal RNA, 362 nt
Filed under: Actinobacteria bacterium HGW-Actinobacteria-5
Lineage: Bacteria; Bacillati; Actinomycetota
Description: bacterial SSU rRNA
Rfam family: Bacterial small subunit ribosomal RNA
Source: RNAcentral
UUCAACGGAGAGUUUGAUCCUGGCUCAGGACGAACGCUGGCGGCGUGCUUAACACAUGCAAGUCGAACGGUGAAGGGAGCUUGCUCCUGGAUCAGUGGCGAACGGGUGAGUAACACGUGAGCAACCUACCCUUGACUCUGGGAUAACAGUUGGAAACAGCUGCUAAUACCGGAUACGACCCCGGCAGGCAUCUACCGGGGUGGAAAGCUCCGACGGUCAAGGAUGGGCUCGCGGCCUAUCAGCUUGUUGGUGGGGUAACGGCCCACCAAGGCGACGACGGGUAGCCGGCCUGAGAGGGCGACCGGCCACACUGGGACUGAGAUACGGCCCAGACUCCUACGGGAGGCAGCAGUGGGGAAUAU